This is a long non-coding RNA of Sander lucioperca (pikeperch), 160 nucleotides long. RefSeq lists it as uncharacterized. NCBI's taxonomy places the organism in Eukaryota, Metazoa, Chordata, Actinopteri, Perciformes, Percidae. The transcript has 3 exons. The record is from RefSeq and is a predicted model, not a curated record.
UUAACACAGGUCGUUAAGUUGAUGCAGUAGACGAAUCAAGUUUACAUUAGCAGUCAUUACUAAAAAUCAUUAGUAAACAUAAAUAAUUUUUUUCUGCAGUCAUGUUGUCUAAAAUGAGCACGUUAAGGUAGGGCUUUAGUGCGUAACUUUUUUGAUAUUA